RNAcentral lists this ribosomal RNA (120 nucleotides) under Diaphorina citri (Asian citrus psyllid). The record is from RNAcentral. Lineage: Eukaryota; Metazoa; Arthropoda; Insecta; Hemiptera; Psyllidae.
GCUAGUGGAGAUGGCACACUGAAUGCAUCAGUUCCUAAUAGAUCACGGAAGUUAAGCAACGUUGCGUAUGGUUAUAUUUGGACGGGUGACCAUCGUGCUGCUGGUUUUUCUCCGCUAGAC